This 99-nucleotide transfer RNA is filed under the name Mycobacterium innocens. Its description in RNAcentral is "Mycobacterium sp. MK13 tRNA-Sec". Lineage: Bacteria; Bacillati; Actinomycetota; Actinomycetes; Mycobacteriales; Mycobacteriaceae. The record is from RNAcentral.
UCGACUCCUGCUGGGACCCGUUCCCCAGGCCGGGCCGUCAGCGCCCGCCGAGGCCCGGGGUGCACAACUCCGGGUGGGUGCAAAGCCCGGGUGCCGAAC